AGCUGGAUAGUUACGAUUUUGCUCACCAGUUUUGUUACACCACUAAUGUUGGGUUGAGGUUGUGAGGGGCUGUAAGCUAGAAUGAGAGUGUGAACAAAGGGAUGAUGGGAAACGAGCACAAUCAUUCUCCCAACCAACAGUCCCGCCCACAACUCAGAGGUGAAUUUCUGAUAAACUCUUGCCGUUCUGCAUAGAGUAAGUCCCAGAAAAUGACGCAGCUUUUUUUAUUUAUGCCUAAAAACAGCAUCAUCAUAAUUAGAAGAUCAUUGGGAACAAUUUUAAAAUAGAUCUAAGGAUGAUUGAAGUGGGACUUUAAACCAGGGUUGUUGCUAAUGACACUAAAUUAACUCACCCUCUUUGAAAUACCAGAACUCUAUGACCGUUUAUGUAAUUAACUGAAUUCCAGUGGAUUCUGACUCAGAGAAAAGUGACAGCAUCCCUUGAAAUGACAUUUAUAGUCCUGUUUUUAGAUAAUAGUUACAAAAGUGCAUAUGACCGUGGGUCAAUGUAGGUAAAAGUCACAUGCACAGUUUUGCAUGCAUCUGUGUCUUUCAGUCUGCAGAACAAAACAUCUGACAAAGGUUCUUCAAAAAGGUCAGGAAAUUGACGGAAAAUGGAAAGCAGAGUUCCCAGAAUGCACCACCAUAAACAGAAAGAUCACAGAAACUCGUGAGUGACUGUUUGUUUUGUUGCUAACCCUGCUUCAGUACAUAUUGUUCACCUGGAUUAGGUGUGAAACUGGGAUGAUUCAAUCCAGGAAAUCAGCAUUUUGUGAAGCAGGGUUAUCUGAAAAACAAGCAGGGCAGAAGGUCAGGAGGAGCAGAGUUGAAGACGCCUGUGUCAGACUCUUUGCCUUUCUAUGGUUUUAUUAGGGAAGUGUGCAGCUUUUGUUUAAUGCUUCUGGUACCCACAGGUGCUGCCCAUCUGCUGCCAGGGGACCACUCCCAGAAUCAGCAUAGAUGGAGUCUAGGUGAUGAAAAAACUUCAGAACCACUACUGGUAAUAAUUUGGGGCCAUCUCCAAUCUGGAGUCCAGACCCAGACUCCACUCAACAGCUGACUACUGAGACAACAGCCUCAAUGAUGACCUGAGAAGAAUGGGAGGAUCCCACAGCUGAGCAUGACUACAACUGCCCAGAGGAACCCCGUCCCACCAGGUUUAUGUGAUGCACCAGUGACGGUGGUACCCUGCAUGCCAGGGGGCCCAAACUCCUGCCUGCUCAGGUAGAUGGUGUGGUCGUGCUGCUCGGCAUGGCUCUGCUCCCGGUGCUGGAGACUGGAAUCACACAAACGGAGGAUGACAGCUCAAACAUCCGUCCGGCUCUGGAUCUGCAGAGGGGAAUCCUUUAGGGAAACCAUGGGGCGGCGAGGGAGGGGGUCACGCGUGUCAGCUGAACUUUUGACUCUGUGAACUGACGAUGUAAGCUUGAGCUGAGACUUCCGCUGGGAGGGAGGGUGUUUUGAAUGGUUGUAUUUCUGGAUCUUCCUGUCUGGAAGUGUUUUAUGGAGAAAGAAUCUCUGAACUGUGGAGAGUUCGGAAAACUGUGAGAGUUCCUGGACUGGAGAUGUCUCUCUGUGAGUAAAAAAAAAAUAAAAAA
This is a long non-coding RNA of Oryzias melastigma (Indian medaka), 1597 nucleotides long. RefSeq lists it as uncharacterized. Lineage: Eukaryota; Metazoa; Chordata; Actinopteri; Beloniformes; Adrianichthyidae. The transcript is spliced from 4 exons. The record is from RefSeq and is a predicted model, not a curated record.